GUGGAUUAGAUAGCCUGGUAGUCCACACUGUAAACGAUGAUUACUAGGUGUGGGAGGUCUGACCCCUUCCGUGCCGCAGUUAACGCAAUAAGUAAUCCACCUGGGGAGUACGACCGCAAGGUUGAAACUCAAAGGAAUUGACGGGGGCCCGCACAAGCAGUGGAUUAUGUGGUUUAAUUCGAAGCAACGCGAAGAACCUUACCAGGUCUUGACAUCCAACUAACGAACUAGAGAUAGAUUAGGUGCCCUUCGGGGAAAGUUGAGACAGGUGGUGCACGGCUGUCGCCAGCU
RNAcentral lists this ribosomal RNA (291 nucleotides) under uncultured bacterium. RNAcentral's name for it is "partial 16S ribosomal RNA". It matches the Rfam family "Bacterial small subunit ribosomal RNA", at positions 773 to 1060 of the family's 1533-position model. The record is from RNAcentral.